GUCUUUUUGUUUAAAAUUUAAAGUCUGGCCUGCCCACUGAAUUUUUAAGGGCCGCAGUAUUUUGACUGUGCGAAGGUAGCAUAAUCAUUAGUUUUUUAAUUGAAAGCUGGAAUGAAGGGUUGAACGAGGGAAUGACUGUCUCUAUAUUAAUUUAUUAGAAUUUUAUUUUUAAGUUAAAAAGCUUAAAUUUUUUUAAAAGACGAGAAGACCCUAUAGAGUUUAAUAAAAUUUUAAAUUGAGAAUAAUUAGAAUUUUUUACUUUUAAUUUAAAGUUUUAUUUUAUUGGGGUGAUAGAAAAAUUUAAUAAACUUUUUUUUUAUUUGAACAUUUAUUUAUGAUUGUAUGAUCCAAUAUUUUUGAUUAUAAGAUUAAAUUACCUUAGGGAUAACAGCGUAAUUUUUUUUGAGAGUUCUUAUCGAAAAAGAAGAUUGCGACCUCGAUGUUGGAUUAAAAUAUAAAUUUGGUGUAGUAGCUAAAUUAUUAGGUCUGUUCGACCUUUAAAAUUUU
This 507-nucleotide ribosomal RNA is filed under the name Cafius rufescens. RNAcentral describes it as "partial 16S ribosomal RNA". It matches the Rfam family "Bacterial large subunit ribosomal RNA", at positions 1819 to 2597 of the family's 2925-position model. The record is from RNAcentral. Lineage: Eukaryota; Metazoa; Arthropoda; Insecta; Coleoptera; Staphylinidae.